This 622-nucleotide ribosomal RNA is filed under the name Aureonarius kroegeri. Its description in RNAcentral is "eukaryotic LSU rRNA". It matches the Rfam family "Eukaryotic large subunit ribosomal RNA", at positions 1 to 628 of the family's 3401-position model. Lineage: Eukaryota; Fungi; Basidiomycota; Agaricomycetes; Agaricales; Cortinariaceae. The record is from RNAcentral.
GUGACCUCMAAUCAGGUAGGACUACCCGCUGAACUUAAGCAUAUCAAUAAGCGGAGGAAAAGAAACUAACAAGGAUUCCCCUAGUAACUGCGAGUGAAGCGGGAAAAGCUCAAAUUUAAAAUCUGGCAGUCUCCGGCUGUCCGAGUUGUAAUCUAGAGAAGUGUUAUCCGCGUUGGACCGUGUACAAGUCUCCUGGAAUGGAGCAUCAUAGAGGGUGAGAAUCCCGUCUUUGACACGGACUGCCAGGGCUUUGUGAUGCGCUCUCAAAGAGUCGAGUUGUUUGGGAAUGCAGCUCAAAAUGGGUGGUAAAUUCCAUCUAAAGCUAAAUAUUGGCGAGAGACCGAUAGCGAACAAGUACCGUGAGGGAAAGAUGAAAAGAACUUUGGAAAGAGAGUUAAACAGUACGUGAAAUUGCUGAAAGGGAAACGCUUGAAGUCAGUCGCGUUGAUCAGGGAUCAACCUUGCUUUUGCUUGGUGCACUUUCUGGUUAAUGGGUCAGCAUCAAUUUUGACCAUUGGAAAAAGGUCAGGGGAAUGUGGCAUCUUCAGAUGUGUUUAUAGCCCUUGGUUGCAUACAAUGGUUGGGAUUGAGGAACUCAGCACGCCGAAAGGCCGGGUUGUUU